AGAGCUCAAAGUUGGAAACUGUUUGGCUUAGCUAAACCGUAUUGUAAACUGUAGAAACAUUUUCCUGGCACACCAGAUUAAUAAGUCCUUUGGAACAAGGCAUCAUGGAGGGUGAGAAUCCCGUCUUUGAUCUGAGUAGUUGUCUUUUGUGAUAUGUUUUCAAAGAGUCAGGUUGUUUGGGAAUGCAGCCUAAAUUGGGUGGUAAAUCUCACCUAAAGCUAAAUAUUUGCGAGAGACCGAUAGCGAACAAGUACCGUGAGGGAAAGAUGAAAAGAACUUUGAAAAGAGAGUUAAACAGUAUGUGAAAUUGUUAAAAGGGAACCGUUUGGAGCCAGACUGGUUUGACUGUAAUCAACCUAGAAUUCGUUUUGGGUGCACUUGCAGUCUAUACCUGCCAACAACAGUUUGAUUUGGAGGACAAAAUUAAUAGGAAUGUAGCCUCUCGAGGUGUUAUAGACUAUUAUCAUACUCUGGAUUGGACUGAGGAACGCAGCGAAUGCCUUUAGGCAAGAUUGCUGGGUGCUUUCGCUAAUAAAUGUUAGAAUUUCUGCUUCGGGUGGUGCUAAUGUUUAAAGGAGGAACACAUCUAGUAUAUUUUUUAUUCGCUUAGGUUGUUGGCUUAAUGACUCUAAAUGAC
RNAcentral lists this ribosomal RNA (637 nucleotides) under Mucor sp. Its description in RNAcentral is "partial large subunit ribosomal RNA". It matches the Rfam family "Eukaryotic large subunit ribosomal RNA", at positions 104 to 648 of the family's 3401-position model. The record is from RNAcentral. Lineage: Eukaryota; Fungi; Mucoromycota; Mucoromycetes; Mucorales; Mucoraceae.